AUUGAACGCUGGCGGCAUGCCUUACACAUGCAAGUCGAACGGCAGCACGGGUGCUUGCACCUGGUGGCGAGUGGCGAACGGGUGAGUAAUACAUCGGAACAUGUCCUGUAGUGGGGGAUAGCCCGGCGAAAGCCGGAUUAAUACCGCAUACGAUCUACGGAUGAAAGCGGGGGACCUUCGGGCCUCGCGCUAUAGAGUUGGCCGAUGGCUGAUUAGCUAGUUGGUGGGGUAAAGGCCUACCAAGGCGACGAUCAGUAGCUGGUCUGAGAGGACGACCAGCCACACUGGGACUGAGACACGGCCCAGACUCCUACGGGAGGCAGCAGUGGGGAAUUUUGGACAAUGGGCGAAAGCCUGAUCCAGCAAUGCCGCGUGUGUGAAGAAGGCCUUCGGGUUGUAAAGCACUUUUGUCCGGAAAGAAAUCCUUGGCUCUAAUACAGUCGGGGGAUGACGGUACCGGAAGAAUAAGCACCGGCUAACUACGUG
This 486-nucleotide ribosomal RNA is filed under the name uncultured bacterium. RNAcentral's name for it is "partial 16S ribosomal RNA". It matches the Rfam family "Bacterial small subunit ribosomal RNA", at positions 30 to 507 of the family's 1533-position model. The record is from RNAcentral.